UUUUUUUCAAAUAAGGGAAUGAAUAAACAAAUAAAAGUGUGUAGAAAGAAAUUAAUGACGACAUUUAGUUCCAAUGAUCGAUAAUAUUCCCCAAAACAACAUUCAUCUGGCAAGUUUCCAAUAACUUUCACACAGAGAAGCAGAUCAAUGAAAUACAACAGAUAAAAAGGUUAACACAAUAAUAAUCUGCCUCAUUUGCAUAUGCAGACUCUCAGAAAACAAGAUCCAAAAAGUGUCGUCUUUCAUAUUCGACAGGGGGAAGUUUCACACGUGACUCUAAAAAAAUAUGAAUUAGCGUCGCUAACAUGAAGCGCUGCUCUGUGGGACACAUGACAUGACGUUUAACGAGCGGUCAGCUGCAUCUGGACGUUAACGUCUCACCUUCCUCCACGUGUCUCCACUUCGUCCGCUGCCAUCGUACCUGCUGAGAGGAGUUUACUGCUCUGAAUGACCACAGGAACCGGUUCCUCCUGUGCUUCCAGCUAAUGAGUAAAGAACACGGUUACCUGAUGCCACGCAUCCUCCUCAGAGAGAGAGAGAGGGAGCCGGCCGGGCGAUCAAGGGGUCGUGCUGCAGCUGCUCUCGUCCAACUUCCACAUCCUCCCGUUUGCAGCCCAAAAAUCUCUGAGGCGCCGAGAGAACCGAAAGAGUCGGAUGCACGCUGAGAAAAUACAAACUCCCUUCAGAUGGUCAUCAGAUGGUGCUGAUGGUGCAGGAGGUGCUGAUGGUGCAGGAGAUGCUGAUGGUGCAGGUGGUGCUGAUGGUGCAGGAGGUGCUGAUGGUGCAGGAGGUGCAGCGCCUGCACCAGUGGCGGCCACUGCCUCCUCAAACACACACACACACACAUUAAUUGUGGUGCUCUGCAGACUUUGCCUCUUCUGGACGGAGAGCAUCUUCUUCUCAAAGGAAUUUAACGCGUCAUCGUUUUGAGGUUCUGAGGUUUUUCGGCUUCAGGGGUCGCGUGUUUGUUUCAUUCAUCGGGUCUGUUCUCUCUCGCCCGGAGCUCUGAGGCUCAUUAAAGCAGCGCCGCACAGGGGGGAGACGGGGGGGAGGAGGAGGGGGGGGGGAAGAACUCCCCCAGCAGCCCGCAUUGAUCCCAAAACCCAGAACAACUGAAAUAUAAAUGAAGGAUUCUCACGAAGGAUUCCUUUGUCCCAAUCGAACACUUUCUCCUCAUUACGCUCCAGAUUUAAGACUGCAAUGUUGUUGUGGUUUAUUUAUUCAUUAUAUAUGAUAUCAUAUCAUUAUGAACCCUGUGAGAAACCAAUGAGUUCAUCUUCUGAUCACCUGACAAACUGAUUACACAAAAGUAGGAAGUAAUGAUGACAAACGGAACCUGAACUCUCUGUCGAGCAGUUUCCAUGUAGAUGUUCUGUCAUUAUCUCUCAUGUCACCUCCAUAUUUACAGAAGAUGAUUAAAAAAGAGACAAGAGACACAAAGUGACGCGGUUAAUAACAGGACGAGAGAGAGAGAGGCGUUUAUACAACGAGGAAACACAGCAGAUGGAAACGUUACGCAGUGUUCAUGCAUGUUGAUACACAUGUGGGUCGUAAAUAUUACUGGAUGCUUCCUGUUAUAUAUCAGGAUUAUUAUAAAAGCCUGAUGACAAACAAAACAGUCGAUCUAAUUUCAAUUUUUAUACAUGCAUAUAUAUAUAUAUAUAUAUAUAUAUAUAUAUAUAUAUGUGUUAUGCUAUGUUAUGUUUUUGCUCCAUAAUUCUUCAUGCACCAAUAAAACACACAAAAACACUAGUGAAUAAAUAUCAGCCGCAGGACAUCGGAUCAUAAGUGAAUAAAUAAUAAUAAAGUUGACCCACUAACAACUGUAAUAAAUAAGUAAUAGAAGUUCCUCCUUUGCCCCGAAACCUCUUGGUGGUUUAACGUGACUCAGCUUUUAACAAUGAGCACUUUUAUUACCAGGAAUGUGUGUUUAUUGUGGAUAUUUUAAGUUAUUUGUGUCUAAGUGAGGAAAGGGGGAGCGGGGGGGAGAGAGAGAGAGAGAGAGAGAGAGAGAGAGAGAGAGAGAGAGAGAGUGAGAGAGGGAGGGGGAGAGAGGGAGGGAGGGAGUCGCCAUUGCUGUCUCCGCGGAGAGGAGGAGGGAGGGCAGCGGGGGAGAGGAGCAGGUUUCGGCUUACAUCGCAUACCUCUCCGACCGACUCUCCAACUCACCGGCCGCCCGGAGCCGCGCAGGACUCCCCGGGCAGCGGAACCCGAGCCGGGAACCACCUCGCUCUCUGGCGGAGGCGGAUCGUGGAUGUCGACGCGGGACGGUUUCUCCGCCUGGCCGGUAGCGCGGGGACGCGUCCUGCUCUCUUCCCGUGGUAUGUGGAUCCGGGAGCGACCAUGUUACGAGGUGGGCAGGGGAACGCAUCUGGGACCCGGACUUCCAUUCGCUUCUCUUUUUGCCGACACUCGUUUCCCCCCCGUUGGGCGAACCGCGGCCCCUGAAGCGGGCGACGCGCUGCUAACGAGCGUUGCGUUUUUAAACGGACCAGCGAGCUGCCGCUGGUUCUUUUAACCGCUUUUCUCCCGCUGGGUUCGCUGUUGCUAGCGUUAGCCUAGCCGCGAUGCUACCGCGGCUAGGCUAACGCUAGCUCAUCGGGAUUUGGGAAAGGUGGGAUUUUUUUUUUUUUUUUCUUCCGUCCUGUGGAGCAGCAGGGCCGAACCCGGGCCGGGUUCACGCACCGUCCCCCGGGGAGGGGGAGGGAGGGAGGG
Long non-coding RNA from Gasterosteus aculeatus aculeatus (three-spined stickleback), 2715 nucleotides. Lineage: Eukaryota; Metazoa; Chordata; Actinopteri; Perciformes; Gasterosteidae. The record is from Ensembl.